This 475-nucleotide ribosomal RNA is filed under the name uncultured Phycisphaerae bacterium. Its description in RNAcentral is "bacterial SSU rRNA". It matches the Rfam family "Bacterial small subunit ribosomal RNA", at positions 9 to 524 of the family's 1533-position model. Lineage: Bacteria; Pseudomonadati; Planctomycetota; Phycisphaerae. The record is from RNAcentral.
GAGUUUGAUCAUGGCUCAGAUUGAACGCUGGCGGCAUGGCUAAAACAUGCAAGUCGAACGAGAACCUCGCAAGAGGGGACAGUGGCGGAGGGGUCAGUAAUGGGAUCGAAUGUACCCCGAGGUGGAGGAUAGCGUCGGGAAACUGACGGUAAUACUCCAUGUCCUCUACGGAGAAAAGAUUUAUCGCCUUGGGAGCAGCGAUCCUCCUAUCAGGUAGUUGGCGGGGUAAAAGCCCACCAAGCCGAAGACGGGUAGCGGGUGUGAGAGCACGGCCCGCGACAUCGAGACUGAGACACUGCUCGGACUCCUACGGGAGGCUGCAGUAACGAAUAUUCCGCAAUGCGCGAAAGCGUGACGGAGCAAUGCCGCGUGCAGGAUGAAGCGGUUUUGCCGUGUAAACUGCUGUCAGGGAUAAGAAAUACUGAUCUAUCCCAGAGGAAGGGGCGACUAACUCUGUGCCAGCAGCCGCCGUAAC